Molecule: ribosomal RNA, 253 nt
Filed under: uncultured bacterium
Lineage: Bacteria
Description: partial 16S ribosomal RNA
Rfam family: Bacterial small subunit ribosomal RNA
Source: RNAcentral
CACGUAGGGACCAAGCGUUGUCCGGAAUUAUUGGGCGUAAAGAGCGUGUAGGCGGUCCGGUAAGUCGGCUGUGAAAGUCCAGGGCUCAACCCUGGGAUGCCGGUCGAUACUGCCGGACUAGAGUUCGGAAGAGGCGAGUGGAAUUCCCGGUGUAGCGGUGAAAUGCGCAGAUAUCGGGAGGAACACCUAUGGCGAAGGCAGCUCGCUGGGACGUUACUGACGCUGAGACGCGAAAGCGUGGGGAGCGAACAGG